UUAAGCGACUAAGCGUACACGGUGGAUGCCCUGGCAGUCAGAGGCGAUGAAGGACGUGCUAAUCUGCGAUAAGCGUCGGUAAGGUGAUAUGAACCGUUAUAACCGGCGAUUUCCGAAUGGGGAAACCCAGUGUGUUUCGACACACUAUCAUUAACUGAAUCCAUAGGUUAAUGAGGCGAACCGGGGGAACUGAAACAUCUAAGUACCCCGAGGAAAAGAAAUCAACCGAGAUUCCCCCAGUAGCGGCGAGCGAACGGGGAGCAGCCCAGAGCCUGAAUCAGUGUGUGUGUUAGUGGAAGCGUCUGGAAAGGCGCGCGAUACAGGGUGACAGCCCCGUACACAAAAAUGCACAUACUGUGAGCUCGAUGAGUAGGGCGGGACACGUGGUAUCCUGUCUGAAUAUGGGGGGACCAUCCUCCAAGGCUAAAUACUCCUGACUGACCGAUAGUGAACCAGUACCGUGAGGGAAAGGCGAAAAGAACCCCGGCGAGGGGAGUGAAAAAGAACCUGAAACCGUGUACGUACAAGCAGUGGGAGCACGCUUCGGCGUGUGACUGCGUACCUUUUGUAUAAUGGGUCAGCGACUUAUAUUCUGUAGCAAGGUUAACCGAAUAGGGGAGCCGAAGGGAAACCGAGUCUUAACUGGGCGUUAAGUUGCAGGGUAUAGACCCGAAACCCGGUGAUCUAGCCAUGGGCAGGUUGAAGGUUGGGUAACACUAACUGGAGGACCGAACCGACUAAUGUUGAAAAAUUAGCGGAUGACUUGUGGCUGGGGGUGAAAGGCCAAUCAAACCGGGAGAUAGCUGGUUCUCCCCGAAAGCUAUUUAGGUAGCGCCUCGUGAAUUCAUCUCCGGGGGUAGAGCACUGUUUCGGCAAGGGGGUCAUCCCGACUUACCAACCCGAUGCAAACUGCGAAUACCGGAGAAUGUUAUCACGGGAGACACACGGCGGGUGCUAACGUCCGUCGUGAAGAGGGAAACAACCCAGACCGCCAGCUAAGGUCCCAAAGUCAUGGUUAAGUGGGAAACGAUGUGGGAAGGCCCAGACAGCCAGGAUGUUGGCUUAGAAGCAGCCAUCAUUUAAAGAAAGCGUAAUAGCUCACUGGUCGAGUCGGCCUGCGCGGAAGAUGUAACGGGCUAAACCAUACACCGAAGCUGCGGCAGCGACGCUUAUGCGUUGUUGGGUAGGGGAGCGUUCUGUAAGCCUGUGAAGGUGUACUGUGAGGUAUGCUGGAGGUAUCAGAAGUGCGAAUGCUGACAUAAGUAACGAAUAAAGCGGGUGAAAAGCCCGCUCGCCGGAAGACCAAGGGUUCCUGUCCAACGUUAAUCGGGGCAGGGUGAGUCGACCCUAAGGCGAGGCGAAAGGCGUAGUCGAUGGGAAACAGGUUAAUAUCCUGUACUUGGUGUUACUGGCGAAGGGGGGACGGAGAAGGCUAUGUUGGCCGGGCGACGGUUGUCCCGGUUUAAGCGUGUAGGCUGGUUUUCCAGGAAAUCCGGAAAAUCAAGGCUGAGCGUGAUGACGAGGCACUACGGUGCUGAAGCAACAAAUGCCCUGCUUCAGGAAAAGCCUCUAAGCAUCAGGUAACAUCAAAUCGUACCCCAAACCGACACAGGUGGUCAGUAGAGAAUACCAAGGCGCUUGAGAGAAACUCGGGUGAAGGAACUAGGCAAAUGGUGCCGUAACUUCGGGAGAAGGCACGCUGAUAUGUAGGUGAAGUCCCUCGCGGAUGGAGCUGAAAUCAGUCGAAGAUACCAGCUGGCUGCAACUGUUUAUUAAAAACACAGCACUGUGCAAACACGAAAGUGGACGUAUACGGUGUGACGCCUGCCCGGUGCCGGAAGGUUAAUUGAUGGGGUUAGCGGUAACGCGAAGCUCUUGAUCGAAGCCCCGGUAAACGGCGGCCGUAACUAUAACGGUCCUAAGGUAGCGAAAUUCCUUGUCGGGUAAGUUCCGACCUGCACGAAUGGCGUAAUGAUGGCCAGGCUGUCUCCACCCGAGACUCAGUGAAAUUGAACUCGCUGUGAAGAUGCAGUGUACCCGCGGCAAGACGGAAAGACCCCGUGAACCUUUACUAUAGCUUGACACUGAACAUUGAGCCUUGAUGUGUAGGAUAGGUGGGAGGCUUUGAAGUGUGGACGCCAGUCUGCAUGGAGCCGACCUUGAAAUACCACCCUUUAAUGUUUGAUGUUCUAACGUUGGCCCCUGAUCGGGGUUGCGGACAGUGUCUGGUGGGUAGUUUGACUGGGGCGGUCUCCUCCUAAAGAGUAACGGAGGAGCACGAAGGUUGGCUAAUCCUGGUCGGACAUCAGGAGGUUAGUGCAAUGGCAUAAGCCAGCUUGACUGCGAGCGUGACGGCGCGAGCAGGUGCGAAAGCAGGUCAUAGUGAUCCGGUGGUUCUGAAUGGAAGGGCCAUCGCUCAACGGAUAAAAGGUACUCCGGGGAUAACAGGCUGAUACCGCCCAAGAGUUCAUAUCGACGGCGGUGUUUGGCACCUCGAUGUCGGCUCAUCACAUCCUGGGGCUGAAGUAGGUCCCAAGGGUAUGGCUGUUCGCCAUUUAAAGUGGUACGCGAGCUGGGUUUAGAACGUCGUGAGACAGUUCGGUCCCUAUCUGCCGUGGGCGCUGGAGAACUGAGGGGGGCUGCUCCUAGUACGAGAGGACCGGAGUGGACGCAUCACUGGUGUUCGGGUUGUCAUGCCAAUGGCACUGCCCGGUAGCUAAAUGCGGAAGAGAUAAGUGCUGAAAGCAUCUAAGCACGAAACUUGCCCCGAGAUGAGUUCUCCCUGACUCCUUGAGAGUCCUGAAGGAACGUUGAAGACGACGACGUUGAUAGGCCGGGUGUGUAAGCGCAGUGAUGCGUUGAGCUAACCGGUACUAAUGAACCGUGAGGCUUAACCUU
RNAcentral lists this ribosomal RNA (2898 nucleotides) under Escherichia coli. RNAcentral's name for it is "bacterial LSU rRNA". It matches the Rfam family "Bacterial large subunit ribosomal RNA". The record is from RNAcentral. Lineage: Bacteria; Pseudomonadati; Pseudomonadota; Gammaproteobacteria; Enterobacterales; Enterobacteriaceae.